RNAcentral lists this ribosomal RNA (465 nucleotides) under uncultured bacterium. RNAcentral's name for it is "partial 16S ribosomal RNA". It matches the Rfam family "Bacterial small subunit ribosomal RNA", at positions 338 to 795 of the family's 1533-position model. The record is from RNAcentral.
CCUACGGGGUGCAGCAGUGGGGAAUAUUGCGCAAUGGGCGAAAGCCUGACGCAGCGACGCCGCGUGAGGGAUGAAGGUCCUCGGAUCGUAAACCUCUGUCAGCAGGGAAGAACGGUCACUGUGCUAAUCAGCAGUGAAUUGACGGUACCUGCAAAGGAAGCACCGGCUAACUCCGUGCCAGCCGCCGCGGCAAUACGGAGGGUCCGAGCGUUAAUCGGAAUUACUGGGCGUAAAGCGGUCGUAGGCGGUAUGUCAAGUCAAGGGUGAAAUCCCCGGGCUCAACGUUGGAACUGCCUUUGAAACUGGCAAACUGGAGUGUGGGGGAGGAUAGUGGAAUUCGAGGUGUAGGAGUGAAAUCCGUAGAUAUGUGGAGGAACACCAGUGGCGAAGGCGACUAUCUGGCACAUAACUGACGCUGAGGAGCGAAAGCGUGGGUAGCAAACAGGAUUAGAUACCCCUGUAGUC